ACAUCACCAGUUCCUGUAUGAUUACCAAAGUUAAGCCAUGUUGAGCAUGGUCAGUACCUAGAUGAGUGACCACUUGGGAAUAUCAAGUGCUGUAAG
Non-coding RNA from Acanthosepion pharaonis, 96 nucleotides. The record is from the annotation of a GenBank genome assembly. Lineage: Eukaryota; Metazoa; Mollusca; Cephalopoda; Sepiida; Sepiidae.